Molecule: ribosomal RNA, 549 nt
Filed under: uncultured bacterium
Lineage: Bacteria
Description: bacterial SSU rRNA
Rfam family: Bacterial small subunit ribosomal RNA
Source: RNAcentral
AGCAGUGGGGAAUAUUGCACAGUGGGGGAAACCCUGAUGCAGCAACGCCGCGUGAGUGAUGAAGGCCUUCGGGUUGUAAAGCUCUGUCUUUGGGGACGAUAAUGACGGUACCCAAGGAGGAAGCCACGGCUAACUACGUGCCAGCAGCCGCGGUAAUACGUAGGUGGCAAGCGUUGUCCGGAUUUACUGGGCGUAAAGGGAGCGUAGGUGGAUAUUUAAGUGGGAUGUGAAAUCCCCGGGCUUAACCUGGGGGCUGCAUUCCAAACUGGAUUUCUAGAGUGCAGGAGAGGAGAGUGGAAUUCCUAGUGUAGCGGUGAAAUGCGUAGAGAUUAGGAAGAACACCAGUGGCGAAGGCGACUCUCUGGACUGUAACUGACACUGAGGCUCGAAAGCGUGGGGAGCAAACAGGAUUAGAUACCCUGGUAGUCCACGCCGUAAACGAUGUCGACUUGGAGGUUGUUCCCUUGAGGAGUGGCUUCCGGAGCUAACGCGUUAAGUCGACCGCCUGGGGAGUACGGCCGCAAGGUUAAAACUCAAAUGAAUUGACGG